RNAcentral lists this non-coding RNA (252 nucleotides) under uncultured bacterium. RNAcentral's name for it is "partial 16S ribosomal RNA". It matches the Rfam family "Bacterial small subunit ribosomal RNA", at positions 524 to 776 of the family's 1533-position model. The record is from RNAcentral. RNAcentral also lists the same sequence under 2 other names.
UACGUAGGUGGCAAGCGUUGUCCGGAAUUAUUGGGCGUAAAGCGCGCGCAGGCGGUUCUUUAAGUUGGGUGUUAAAGGCAGCGGCUCAACCGCUGUUCGCACCCAAAACUGGGGAACUUGAGUGCAGGAGAGGAUAGUGGAAUUCCCGGUGUAGCGGUGGAAUGCGUAGAGAUCGGGAGGAACACCAGUGGCGAAGGCGACUGUCUGGCCUGCAACUGACGCUGAGGCGCGAAAGCGUGGGGAGCAAACAGG